AUCCAGCUGAAGUUGAACAGAGUUAUGCUCUCUCUUCUUGUUUCAGCUUUCAUACAGAGAUGGCCAGAGCAUAGAUAGGGUGGGGACAAUGCAAUGCAAUGUAAGAAGCCUCAGCUCUGGUGACAGGUGUAUAAGGCUUGAAUUCCAGCAUUGGCAUCGGACCUGGGAACCAUCCCUUUCAAAGGUAAUUAUCAAGGAAGAUGUUGCCUUAUCUUCCAGCCUCUGUAGAACAGCAGGAGUCUGACUUAGGUGGCCACUUUUCUCUAAAUUGAAAAACUAUCUUCUACCAUUAGAGUGAACUGAACAGGCAACCUACAGAAUGGGAGAAAUUUUUUGCAAUCUACUCAUCUAAUCUACAGAAUCUACAAAGAACUCAAACAAAUUUACAAGAAAAAAACAAACAACCCCAUCCAAAAGUGGGCAAAGGAUAUGAACAGACACUUCUCAAAAGAAGACAAUUAUGCAGCCAACAGACACAUGAAAAAAUGCCCACCAUCACUGGCCAUCAGAGAAAUGCAAAUCAAAACCACAAUGAGAUACCAUCUCACACCAGUUAGAAUGGUGAUCAUUAAAAAGUCAGGAAACAACAGGUGCUGGAGAGGAUGUGGAGAAAUAGGAACAAUUUUACACUGUUGGUGGGAUUGUAAAUUAGUUCAACCAUUGUGGAAGUCAGUGUGGUGAUUCCUCAGGGAUCUAGAACUAGAAAUACCAUUUGACCCAGCCAUCCCAUUACUGGGUAUGUACCCAAAGGAAUAUAAAUCAUGCUGCUAUAAAGACACAUGCACACGUAUGUUUAUUGCAGCACUACUCACAAUAGCAAAGAGUUGGAACCAACCCAAAUGUCCAACAAUGAUAGACUGGAUUAAGAAAAUGUGGCACGUAUACACCAUGGAAUACUAUGCAACCAUAAAAAAAGGAUGAGUUCGUGUCCUUUGUAGGGACAUGGAUGAAGCUGGAAACCAUCAUUCUCAGCAAACUAUCACAAGGACAAAAAACCAAACACCGCGUGUUCUCACUCAUAGAUGGGAAUUGAACAAUGAGAACACAUGGACACAGGAAGGGGAACAUCACACAAUGGGGCCUGCUGUGGGCUGCGGGGAGAGGGGAGGGAUAGCAUUAGGAGAUAUACCUAAUGUAAAUGACGAGUUAAUGGGUGCAGCAUGCCAACA
This 1169-nucleotide long non-coding RNA is filed under the name Homo sapiens (human). Its description in RNAcentral is "HSALNT0301668". The record is from RNAcentral. Lineage: Eukaryota; Metazoa; Chordata; Mammalia; Primates; Hominidae.